CCCAACACAGGGACUGCAUAAUAGAAARGAUUAAAACCUGUAAAAGGAACUAGGCAAAACAAAGAGCCCGACUGUUUACCAAAAACAUAGCCCCUAGCAUGAACAAGUAUUAGGGGUGAUGCCUGCCCAGUGACAUUGUUCAACGGCCGCGGUAUUCUGACCGUGCGAAGGUAGCGUAAUCACUUGUCUUUUAAAUAAAGACUGGAAUGAAUGGCUAAACGAGGCUCUAUCUGUCUCUUACAGACAAUCAGUGAAAUUGAUCUCCUCGUGCAAAAGCGAGAAUAGUGAUAUAAGACGAGAAGACCCUGUGGAACUUUAAAUAACAGCUAACGGCCAAUAAACCUACUAAACCAACAGGACCACUAACCAUAACUAUCCCUAGCUUUAUUUUCGGUUGGGGUGACCUCGGAGAAAAACAAAACCUCCGAAAACCUACACUAAGAACAACAAAUCAAAGUGCCUCCGGCUAAACGAUCCAAUAUAUUUGAUUAAUGAACCAAGCUACCCCAGGGAUAACAGCGCAAUCCCCUCUUAGAGUCCCUAUCAACGACGGGGGUUUACGACCUCGAUGUUGGAUCAGGACAUCCUAAUGGUGCAGCCGCUAUUAAGGGUUCGUUUGUUCAACGAUUAAUAGUCCUACGUGAUCUGAGUUCAGACCGGAGUAAUCCAGGUCGGUU
This 677-nucleotide ribosomal RNA is filed under the name Ranacephala hogei (Hoge's toadhead turtle). RNAcentral's name for it is "Mesoclemmys hogei (Hoge's toadhead turtle) partial 16S ribosomal RNA". It matches the Rfam family "Bacterial large subunit ribosomal RNA", at positions 1649 to 2636 of the family's 2925-position model. Lineage: Eukaryota; Metazoa; Chordata; Testudines; Chelidae. The record is from RNAcentral.